Molecule: ribosomal RNA, 253 nt
Filed under: uncultured bacterium
Lineage: Bacteria
Description: partial 16S ribosomal RNA
Rfam family: Bacterial small subunit ribosomal RNA
Source: RNAcentral
UACGAAGGGGGCUAGCGUUGUUCGGAAUUACUGGGCGUAAAGCGCACGUAGGCGGCUUUCUAAGUCAGGGGUGAAAUCCUGGAGCUCAACUCCAGAACUGCCUUUGAUACUGGAGAGCUAGAGUCCGGAAGAGGUGAGUGGAACUGCGAGUGUAGAGGUGAAAUUCGUAGAUAUUCGCAAGAACACCAGUGGCGAAGGCGGCUCACUGGUCCGGUACUGACGCUGAGGUGCGAAAGCGUGGGGAGCAAACAGG